GAGAGAGAGACAUGCGCGCAUAUCAAUAAGCGGAGGAAAAGAAACUAACAAGGAUUCCCUUAGUAACGGCGAGUGAAGCGGGAAGAGCUCAAAUUUGAAAUCUUCAAGGUUUUACCUUGACGAAUUGUAGUUUAAAGAAGUGUUUUCUGCUGGAGUUUUGGUAAAAGUUCUUUGGAAUAGGACAUCAUAGAGGGUGAGAAUCCCGUAUUUGACCAUUAUUUCAGCUUUGUGAUACACUUUCAAAGAGUCGGAUUGUUUGGGAAUGCAGUCCAAAAUGGGUGGUAAAUUUCAUCUAAAGCUAAAUAUUGGCGAGAGACCGAUAGCGAACAAGUACCGUGAGGGAAAGAUGAUAAGAACUUUGAAAAGAGAGUUAAACAGUACGUGAAAUUGUCAAAAGGGAAGCGUUUGACACCAGUGUUGUUUUCUCGAAAAUCAAUUAAAAAUGGCUCGAUUUUGUAUUGUUGAGACCUUAAAAGCUCACUGUACAUUUUUCGUGUCUUUUUUAAUGCACUUUUCGUUUAACAAGUCAACAUCAGUUUCUUUUGUUGUAAAAGGGUCAUUGGAAGGUGGCUUUCUUUUCGGAGAAAGUGUUUAUAGCCUUUGGCCUCUGCAAUCGGAGAGACUGAGGUCUGCAGCGUAGACUCUUCGGGGUUAGAUACAUUUGUGCUAAGUUAUAGCUUUUUAUAGACAACUUGUUGACUAUAAUUAGUCUUGUAGCUUACUCGCUUAUGCUAUUUUACCUACGCUUAGGAUGUUGAGUCGUAGAGCACGCAG
Molecule: ribosomal RNA, 774 nt
Filed under: uncultured Neocallimastigales
Lineage: Eukaryota; Fungi; Neocallimastigomycota; Neocallimastigomycetes; Neocallimastigales
Description: partial large subunit ribosomal RNA
Rfam family: Eukaryotic large subunit ribosomal RNA
Source: RNAcentral